Molecule: long non-coding RNA, 655 nt
Organism: Ipomoea triloba (trilobed morning glory)
Lineage: Eukaryota; Viridiplantae; Streptophyta; Magnoliopsida; Solanales; Convolvulaceae
Exons: 2
Source: RefSeq, a predicted model, not a curated record
UUGGUCUUGCGGCUAAUACAAAAUCUUGGCAUAUCCCAACUUUCACUCUUCCAUUCCCGUAGAUGUCGUGCGAAGGAUUCUGGAACCGCAGCGAAGAAGAAACACCAACGACAGCCGACUGCACCGCUACCGUCACAGAGCUAUGGCUAGUUCGAGGCGAUGCGGAAAACGACGACAAGGAACAAGGAAUCAGUCAGAAAACAGAGGUAUCUUCGUGUUCCAUAGCAACCUCACGACCAGCUAGAUCGUGCCUCACCAACUGAGUUUUAACACUUUUGUGUGCACGGUAAUAGGGGGAUGAGACCAACAUCUAACAAUUUCAAAAACUUUAAGGGAUUAUGUUACCUGUUUUUUCUAAACCCAAUAAGGAGUUUACUUUGUAUAAGUCUUUCCUAUCAGAUGAUGUGUGCCCUUCAUUUUGUAUAUUGUGUGCACAUUAGCAAAGUCCAGCAUUUUAUGUCAUUAUGAAUAUGUGUGCACUCGUUACCACUGGUGUGUGCAUGGUACCACGUACGUGUGCAUUUCAUGGUGUCAAAAUUGGACGAUAUGACAUUUUUUGCUCUUAAGUACCACGUUGUGUGCACAUAAUAACACCUUUUUUUUUUUGCUUGGGCUAUUUAUUUAUGGAUUAUUAUUGGAACAAUGUAUUUUUGCA